Molecule: ribosomal RNA, 468 nt
Filed under: uncultured bacterium
Lineage: Bacteria
Description: partial 16S ribosomal RNA
Rfam family: Bacterial small subunit ribosomal RNA
Source: RNAcentral
GACGAACGCUGGCGGCGUGCUUAACACAUGCAAGUCGAACGGAAAGGCCCUGCUUUUGUGGGGUGCUCGAGUGGCGAACGGGUGAGUAACACGUGAGUAACCUGCCCUUGACUUUGGGAUAACUUCAGGAAACUGGGGCUAAUACCUGAUAGGAGCUCCUGCUGCAUGGUGGGGGUUGGAAAGUUUCGGCGGUUGGGGAUGGACUCGCGGCUUAUCAGCUUGUUGGUGGGGUAGUGGCUUACCAAGGCUUUGACGGGUAGCCGGCCUGAGAGGGUAACCGGCCACAUUGGGACUGAGAUACGGACCAGACUCCUACGGGAGGCAGCAGUGGGGAAUAUUGCACAAUGGGCGGAAGCCUGAUGCAGCAGCGCCGCGUGCGGGAUGACGGCCUUCGGGUUGUAAACCGCUUUCGCCUGUGACGAAGCGUGAGUGACGGUAAUGGGUAAAGAAGCACCGGCUAACUACGUG